UACGUAGGUGGCAAGCGUUGUCCGGAUUUACUGGGCGUAAAGAGCGCGCAGGCGGCUGGUCAAGUCCGAUGUGAAAUCUCCCGGCUUAACUGGGAAACUGCAUCGGAAACUGAUCGGCUUGAAGGUGGGAGAGGGUAGUGGAAUUCCCGGUGUAGUGGUGAAAUGCGUAGAUAUCGAGAGGAACACCGGUGGCGAAGGCGGCCAACUGGACGAAUACUGACGCUGAGACUCGAAAGCGUGGGGAGCAAACAGG
Molecule: ribosomal RNA, 253 nt
Filed under: uncultured bacterium
Lineage: Bacteria
Description: partial 16S ribosomal RNA
Rfam family: Bacterial small subunit ribosomal RNA
Source: RNAcentral